UAGGGAAUAUUGGGCAAUGGAGGGAACUCUGACCCAGCCAUGCCGCGUGCAGGAUGAAGGCGUUAUGCGUUGUAAACUGCUUUUUAUAUAGGAAGAAAUAGUCCUUGCGAGGAAAGUUGACGGUACUAUAUGAAUAAGCACCGGCUAACUCCGUGCCAGCAGCCGCGGUAAUACGGAGGGUGCAAGCGUUGUCCGGAUUUAUUGGGUUUAAAGGGUGCGUAGGCGGUUUAUUAAGUCAGUGGUGAAAGACGGUCGCUCAACGAUUGCAGUGCCAUUGAUACUGGUAGACUUGAGUAUGAUUGAGGUAGCUGGAAUGGAUAGUGUAGCGGUGAAAUGCAUAGAUAUUAUCCAGAACACCAAUUGCGUAGGCAAGUUACUAAGUCAUAACUGACGCUGAGGCACGAAAGUGUGGGUAUCAAACAGGAUUAGAUACCCGAGUAGUCCCUGAGCGGGCUGGCAAGGCGCAU
This 467-nucleotide ribosomal RNA is filed under the name uncultured bacterium. RNAcentral describes it as "bacterial SSU rRNA". It matches the Rfam family "Bacterial small subunit ribosomal RNA", at positions 355 to 825 of the family's 1533-position model. The record is from RNAcentral.